Molecule: long non-coding RNA, 625 nt
Filed under: Solanum tuberosum (potato)
Lineage: Eukaryota; Viridiplantae; Streptophyta; Magnoliopsida; Solanales; Solanaceae
Description: long non-coding RNA (STUB_LNC002846)
Source: RNAcentral
UCUAUUUUUAUUAAAUUCUUAUCCAUAUUUAAAAGAUUCACCCAUAUUAAUUAAAAACUCACCCAAAUAAAAUAAUGCCCACUCCAAAUUAGAACCCAAAAUCCUCAAAAUACUUCUCCAUCUUCUCCGUUUCUCAUCAUCCGAAUUUUGGUCGAGUUUGGCUGAUUUCUGGCCAAGUUCUUCGAUUUUCAAGCUGUAGUUCAUGGAAAAUGUUCCUGCAAAUCCAAAACGAACUCAGUCCUCCACAUGAUUAAUUAAUUAAAUUUGAACUGAUGCAUUUUGAUGGACGACACAAAUAGAAAAGUCACAUCAAGAUUACCAUUUCCAUCAGGGCUAUUAAAUGGAAGCAGCCAUCUCUAAAUGACACUAUUACGGUAUUACUUAGACACGGUAAAUUAGGACCAAUCACAUCAUGAAAUUUGCAAUUGCUAACAAAAAUCCAAUGGGUCUGUUUAUAAUUGAAUUGAGGAUCAAAAUGGGUUGAUCAUUGAUGAACGAGGAUACACCAAAAAUUCGAAUUACAGGUCGUAGAAGAAGAGGAAAAAACAGAGGACAAAGUGCAGAUACUAGUAAGUGUUUUGAGGGUUUUGGGUUAUAACUUGGGUAUGGAUAUUAUGUUGUUUGG